This 61-nucleotide transfer RNA is filed under the name Moechotypa diphysis. RNAcentral describes it as "tRNA-Cys". The record is from RNAcentral. Lineage: Eukaryota; Metazoa; Arthropoda; Insecta; Coleoptera; Cerambycidae.
AGUCUUAUAUUCAAAAAUGAUUUUAAAUUGCAAAUUUAAAGGUGGAUCAAUCCUAAGGCUU